Molecule: unclassified non-coding RNA, 453 nt
Filed under: Hevea brasiliensis (rubber tree)
Lineage: Eukaryota; Viridiplantae; Streptophyta; Magnoliopsida; Malpighiales; Euphorbiaceae
Source: RNAcentral
CUGCAGAUUAUUUUGGAUUGUUCAGUAAGAGUCUGAGUAACACCCAGCUAAAUGGAUUUUGACAUACAGAUUAUUUGUGUGGGCAAUCAAUAGUUGGAGCAUAACAUGUCUAAUUGGGUUGAGUUUGACAUUGCAGAUAUGGAAAAAUAGACUGGACAUGAUUUGGACUAUAUAAUUGAUUGUGUUUCUGACUAGAAAAGGAGCAAAAAAAUCAUAAAUGAUUCUUUUCCCUUUUCUUGGACGCAUGCAUGAUUUGUUUUAGAAGGAAUGUGGUUUCCCCCCUUUAUAUUAGUAGCUGCCCAACUAAUGGGUUUCUUUUAUCCGUACUGGCUUAUGUCUGAAAUGUUAUGUUUGGUACAUAUCUCAAAAUUGUUGUGCAGUUCUUCUAGGGGGAAAUUCUUACAGGAAUGUAUUUUCUUUUGUUUUAUUCUGUGCAGAGAACUUCCAUACCCU